RNAcentral lists this long non-coding RNA (4090 nucleotides) under Pan troglodytes (chimpanzee). Its description in RNAcentral is "long non-coding RNA NONPTRT003099". Lineage: Eukaryota; Metazoa; Chordata; Mammalia; Primates; Hominidae. The record is from RNAcentral.
UGGAGCUGCUCGGGAGGUCGAACCCGAAGGUACCUAGUGUGGCGCCAUGGCGCCAUCGAGGACGUCGGGAGAAACUGAGGCGCAGGGAGAAGGUUGGGCUUCCUGGAGUACAGAGCGAGGCGCCACUAACUGAGCGCCUACUGCGUGUUGCGCGCUUUGGUGCCCUGGGUUCAUUGACUUAAUGCUCACGAAGACGCGAGAACUCUAAGCCAGAACCUAAGAGGGCCAGAAGCUGGGAUCCAAGUCUACUUGUCCCACCCCCUCCACUGGAACUCCCUGGCCCCCAGCUCUGCACAGCUCCUGCCCUGCAGCCCUCGCCUGGCUGUGCUCCGGGAAGGCCUCGUGGGCACUUCACCCUGCUCUGCAGCCACACUCACACCCUGGAUCCAGGUCACACUAGCGGCAAAGACCCCACUGGCUCGGACUUCACCAACCUGGAGCAGGGGAGAGAAGCUAAGUUCUGACCUUUGAUCAGAAGAUGGGGAAGCCACACUCAACACGUCACUGCCUUGGGAGGUGGAUUUGGGGAUGGUGGGUCCUGGGGAAAAAACGGGCUUUUGGUGUGGAAAUGACAUCUUUCCUGUUUCCGACCUCUGCCUGCCUCAUGCCAGGUGAGACACCUUCAUGCCUGUUUCCAUGAUUGAGAACAUGGGAGUACGCUUCUUUCCACCUAUGUUCCUGGUGGAUUUUCACUGGAGUUGGGCUGCACUGUGGAAAAGGGGUUGGGCAGCUCCUGUGGCACAGUGAGGGGGCAUAGAAGCCCAAGGCAGUCGGUAAGAAAUCACCAGUUUAUUGAAUGAAAAACCCAACAUCAACUCAGUCCCUCCCACCCCUAUCUCCUCUCUAUGGCUCAGGAGACGCUCAGGACAGCAGGGCUGAGCCCUGGGAAGGGCUGGAGGAGAGCUUGGGAGAGGUAUGGAGAAUGAGAAAAACACUUUCAAAAUGAAGUUCUGUGCAAAAACUUCUGGGAAGGAGUGAGAGGACAAGAGAAAAGCUCCAAAGGGGCUGUGGGGCGCAGAUGGCCGGGCUGGGGGGUGCAGAGGGCUGGGCUGGGGCCCUGUGUCCUCAACCACUCCUGAGAACACGGACGGUCAGGACUGAGGGGCUCAGACCCCGGGUUGGUGAGAGGGAGGUGACAGGGAGGGAAGGAGCCUGCUGGAGGGAAACCUGGCUGGGAGGAUGGGUCUGGGCCCAGGCUGGGGCCUAAGGAGGGGGAAGAACAGAGCAGGGAAAGGCAGAAAAACUGACACGGUGGGAGGAGGGAGAUGAAUGGGAGAUGAAACAGAAUGUCUGAGGGGCCACAGACAGCAUGUAUGGUGGUGAGGGUCUGCCUCCCAUCUCUCCAAGUCCAGGCAGAGCUGUGCUGGGUGAGGGGCUGGGAGGCAGAGGCAGGAGCAUCAUCAACAAGGGUGGAAGCCACGAAGACAGCGACCAGUGCACAGGGUGUGUCACAUGGUACAACCAAGAGACUUGGCGUGCAAAGAACCAAAGAAACACUCAGGACACACACGACAUCUGCAGGGAACCUGGGGGUGGUGAGGAAGUCGUGCACGGGUGGUGGGGGGAGACUGGGAGGCCCCUCUGUCCUAGAAACGCUGUGUCACCAUAGCAACAGGGUCCUGGAGGCGGGGGAGCUGCCUCCUGCCCCUGUGAGCUGUGAAGCAGGGGUCCUGUGGGCUCAGGGUGCCCCCUUACCCUCCCUUGGGAAGCUCUGGGGCAGGUGGAGAACCCCAUAAGAGUUGAAAGUGGCCCUGGGUCCUGCUGGAGGCGGCAGAGUGAGUGGAUCUGGCAGCUGCAUCUUAGAGGACACCCUGUUGGCUGGAGGGGCUGGGGGAGGACUAGGCUCUCCUGCUGGGGACCAGGAUUCCAGCUUUCUCAUUUCCGGGAAGGAAACUGAUACCACAAGGAAGAGUUUGGAAGUCGGGUGAAGGAAGGCCUGGGGGACUCAGUCCAGGGGACUAUGGGCACCAGAAGGCAAAAACAACACGCCUUGGGCCUGGAGCAGGAGGGAGAAGGGGAAAAGCGGGAAUGAGGAGGGGCUGUGCAGGGGUGGGCUGGAGGGGAGGGGAGGGGAGGCGUCCCUGUGGCAGUGUCCUUCGGGACCUGGGCGAGUGAGAGGCAGACCCUGGUGCCAGGGAAGGGAUGCUGGGCCCGGGCCUGCUGGCCUCCCCCUGCCCGCAGGCGGUGAGGCUGGUGGCAGUGCCAGGAGGGAAAGUGGCUGGGAGACAGGGCCUCAGGUGGCCUUGCUGCCACUGAAGAGUCCCACUGGAAAGUGCUUGACAUGGGUGGGCCACUGGGCUGCCAGCUGGAAGAACUUGAUGUCACUCCACUCGACCCCAUCGAUGGACACUGGGGGUGACAGGAGAGGAGGGGUGACCAGACUGCUCAGGCCAUCUCCCCAGGGCCCCUUGGGAAAGGCCAUUGCCUGCCUCCCUCUCCAGUCCCUUUCUUGCCCUCCUCCCGGCCCUGCCCGCCCUCGCACCUCUCAGCAUAGUCUGCUGCUGCUUGGCUGAGCAGAUGAGGCGGCUGAUGCCUUCAAUGACCUGGCUCUUAGAAUCCACCUCCUUUUCUCGGGGUUUCUUGCUCAGGAAGAUGGUGGGAACUGGAAAGCAAGCAAGGCCACCUGUGUCCCAGCCCCUGGGGAGGCCGCCACCCCUCUCCUCCCCAGCCAACUGUCCUCUUCUUCCUGUGGCGAGGGGAGGUGAUCUGCAAACCAACCCCUCCUCCCUGGCACUGGGCUGUGGGUCAGGAUCUUCAGGUUCCUGACUCAGUCCCAGCACUGAGCUGGUGACUUUGGCUAAGGUCCCACUUCUCCCCCUGGGGCUCGAUAUCUUCGCCUGUUCAGUGAAGACCUUGGUCCAGAUGGUCUCUGAAGUCCUUUCCAGCUGGAACGUUCUAGGCAGCCUGUGGGGCAGGGGCCUGCCUCCCUAUCAGGCGCAUGCUCUAUGCAGGAGCCAGUGCAGCAUGAGUUUGUCCUCACGCUGUCCUGGGGAUGCCGGGGAGUGCUCCCUGUUCCACUCCCACUCCAGAAAGGAAGCAAGGGCAGGGAGGGCACUGCUGAGCAGGCAGCUGCCCCUUGCAAGUUUCUGUGCUGCAGGCCGUGGGUUUUGGCUGUGGGCCUGGCACAGCCCCAUGCCUGACCCCCCAGGGGAACUCUGCAGAGGGGAGUCACACACAGAAAUAGGCACAGCUGCUUUGCAGCACCCAAAGGAGGCGGGGUUGGGGUCAUGCCAGUGCUGCAGGUGCACUACCAGUUGCGGGUCCCCAGCUGGCACCAACGGUGGCAGGCGCUGCCGCAGCACUGGCCCAGCCAUAGGGGUUCCUGCCUCACUCCCACGCACAGGAGCCGGGCCAGCUCCAACUCCCCUCCAGCUCCUUAAGCUACCCCUGCUAUCCAGAAUGGACUGUAUGCCCCUUAAUCCUGAAAACACAACCACAUCCUUUUGCUCAUGAGGCCUCUUUGGAGCGGCCUCCAGGGCUGGGUGCAAGUUCUCUACUCCUGCGUCACAGGGACCUGGAGCUGUGAUAUAGAGAGGCCUCUCCCUGUCUGCAGUCCAUCCCGGACAGCAGUGGCCAGAAAGGCCCCCUUCAUUACACAGUGGCAGCUGCCUCAGCCCCUAAAGUACUGGAGCUCAGCAGAGAGUGAACAAGCGACUCUCUGCAGCCUCGGUUUCCUGCAUGACAGAAGGAAUGGCCUUGUCCCUCAAGGGGAGGUGGGACUGCCCCCUCUGCACCCCAUGCCAGACCAUGGGAUGCUUCUUCAUCCCAAAUAUCCCAAAAGCAGAUUUAUUCCCAGGCCCUGAGAGACGAGACGGGAGGCCUGGUGGCCCAUGGUCUUCCCCGGCCUUGGGGGUACUUGCCUUUCUUGUUCUUUUCUUUGGUGACCACAGUCAUGGCCAUGGUGCCAGAAAGCUGGGCCUCCCCACUAUGGGGCAGGCGGGACACCUGCACUGAGCGGAAGACACUCUUGAGGGUGUUCUUCGAGCUGGCGUCCCUCUUGUCGCCUUCCCUCCUCCGCUCCCCGGGGUGGCCCAGCCAGUAGUCCACCUGGAGGCCAAUCACGUCCCCAUAUGGGCUAUUAGGGCUCCUG